UAGAAGGAGAACUUUUCGGGACAAGUGUUAGUUUGUCACUUGUGUUUGCCUCAUCGUGAGGUUGUUCUCUCGAUAUUUUGUACUCUCUUUUUAUAUAGUGGAUUGCUUAUCUCCGCCUGUAGAUGUAGGUCAAUUGACCGAACCAUGUUAAAUGUUUGUGUCUCUUUUGGUAUAUUUCUCUUUUGUUAUCUGAUUUAUCGUUACAUUGUUCAAUGUUUGCUUUGUUAGCUUCCGCAUGACACUUGAUUUUUUCUAUCCUAAUAAGUGGUAUCAGAGUGAGGUUCAAGUCAAGUUCAUCUUUGGGAGGUUUAGUUCUAGCCGCAACCUAUUUGAUGAUAAUCAUGAUUUUUAUCUGAGAAAUUUUACCGGAAUGCUACUCACGUUGAGACAAACUUUGUGGUGGAGAUUUGGAGAUGCGACCUAUUGAAGAAUAUGUGAAAAAGGUAGAUCAAGUUUAUUUUGUCAGAAAAUUCAGGCCAGGGGAAAGAAUUAUUAGGUGUUUGUCUAGAUUUUCUUACCAUAUUUGAUUUUCCUAUCUCUUGAAGGAGAGGGCAACAUAUUUACUAUAAUUGAGUUUUUCUUUUCGUAAAAGUAAUUAUAAAUCUCCCAUAUUUGGCUAGUCCCUUUUCUUGGAGGAAAAAGUUUGAACUUCUAUAAAUUGAGGAUCCUUCCUUCUCAUUUAGUACAUCCACAAUGUAACCAUAAGGAAUUUGAGAGUCUUGUUUAGAAGAAGAACUUUUCGGGACAAGUGUUAGUUUGUCACUUGUGUUUGCCUCAUCGUGAGGUUAUUCUCUCGAUAUUUUAUACUCUCUUUUUAUAUAGUGGAUUGCUUAUCUCCGCCAGUAGAUGUAGGUCAAUUGACCGAACCAUGUUAAAUGUUUGUGUCUCUUUUGGUAUAUUUCUCUUUUGUUAUUUGAUUUUUCGUUACGUUGUUCAAUGUUUGCUUUGCUAGCUUCCGCAUGACACUUGAUUUUUUCGAUCAUAACAAGUGGUAUCAGAGCGAGGUUCAAGACAGGUUCAUCUUUGGGAGGUUUAGUUCUAGCCGCAGCCUAUUUGAUUAUAAUCCUGAUUUUUGUCUGAGAAAUUUUACCGAAGUGCUACUCACGUUGAGACAAACUUUGUGGUGGAAAUUUGGAGAUGCGACUUAUUAAAGAUUAUGUGAAAAAGGCAGAUCAAGUUUAUUUUGUCAGAAAAUUCAGACCAAGGGGAAGAAUUAUUAGGUGUUUGUCUAGAUUUUCUUACCAUAUUUGAUUUUCCUAUCUCUUGAAGGAGAAGGCAACAUAUUUACUCUAAUUGAGUUUUUCUUUUCGUAAAAGAAAUUAUAAAUCUCCCAUAUUUGGCUAGUCUCUUUUCUUGGAAGAAAAAGUUUGGACUUCUAUAAAUUGAGGAUCAUUCCUUCUCAUUUAGUACAUCUAUAAUGUAACCAUAAGGGAUUUGAGAGUCUUGUUUAGAAGGAGAAUUUUUCGGGACAAGUGUUAGUUUGUCGCUUGUGUUUUCCUCAUCGUGAGGUUGUUUUCUUGAUAUUUUGUACUCUCUUUUUAUAUAGUGGAUUGCUCAUCUCCGCCCAUAGAUGUAGGUCAAUUGAUCGAACCAUGUUAAAUAUUUGUGUCUAUUUUGGUAUAUUUCUCUUUUAUUAUCUGAUUUAUCGUUACAUUGUUCAAGGUUUGCUUUGUUAGCUUCNNNNNNNNNACACUUGAUUUAUUCGAUCCUAAUAAGUGGUAUCAGAGCGAGGUUCAAGACAGGUUUAUCUUUGGGAGGUUUAGUUCUAGCCGCAGCCUAUUUGAUGAUAAUCAUGAUUUUUGUCUGAAAAAUUUUACCGGAGUGCUACUCACAUCGAGACAAACUUUGUGCUAGAGAUUUGGAGAUGCGACCUGUUAAAGAUUAUGUGAAAAAGGUAGAUCAAGUUUAUUUUGUCAGAAAAUCCAGCCCGAGGGGAAGAAUUAUUAGGUGUUUGUCUAUAUUUUCUUACCAUAUUUGAUUUUCCUAUCUCUUGAAGGAGAGGGCAACAUAUUUACUAUAAUUGAGUUUUUCUAUUCGUAAAAGAAAUUAUAAAUCUCCCAUAUUUGGCUAGUCUCUUUUCUUGGAGGAAAAAGUUUGGACUUCUAUAAAUUGAGGAUCCUUCCUUCUCAUUUAGUACAUCCACAAUGUAACCAUAAGGAAUUUGAGAGUCUUGUUUAGAAGGAGAACUUUUUGGGACAAGUUUUAGUUUGUCACUUGUGUUUGCCUCAUCGUGAGGUUGUUCUCUCGAUAUUUUGUACUCUCUUUUUAUAUAGUGGAUUGCUCAUCUCCGUCCGUGGAUGUAGGUCAAU
RNAcentral lists this long non-coding RNA (2309 nucleotides) under Nicotiana tabacum (common tobacco). RNAcentral's name for it is "long non-coding RNA (NTAB_LNC008941)". Lineage: Eukaryota; Viridiplantae; Streptophyta; Magnoliopsida; Solanales; Solanaceae. The record is from RNAcentral.